UUUGAAUCUAUUAAUUCGUAAUGAUUCAUGAAUUGGGUUAUGUUGUGGAACGUCAUGAGUAUAUGGGAAGCUUUUCUCGAUUUCCUUGGAAGGGCUGAUUUCUUCUUCUAUUUUGCGUUUGAUUGAUUUUGGACAAGAGGCAGAAGAAGACCCUGAACAACUCUUAAGAAGAUGGUAUGGUAACUCCGUUGGUUCUCUCAUCUCUGUAGAUGUUGUCAAGCACGAGGGUUUGAGAACUCUUUGUGGCUCAAAAUGGGUUGGAUUGGGUUGA
Helianthus annuus (common sunflower) is the source of this 271-nucleotide long non-coding RNA. RefSeq lists it as uncharacterized. The transcript has 3 exons. The record is from RefSeq and is a predicted model, not a curated record. NCBI's taxonomy places the organism in Eukaryota, Viridiplantae, Streptophyta, Magnoliopsida, Asterales, Asteraceae.